UAUGGGCCCUGGUCAAAUGUAGAAUGAGUUGCCAUUUGGGACACACAACCCCAGUGAAUAUGAGUAGCAUGAGUCCAUGGACAGAAUAUAUUACUAAGGUGUUUGAGACUUGAGACUUGCUGAUCAGCCUGACUAACCCAACACCUUAUUGAGACUUGUAGAUGCCAACACCUUAUUGAGACUUGUUGAUCAGCCUGACUAACCCAACACCUUAUUGAGACUUGUUGAUCAGCCUGACUAACCCAACACCUUAUUGACACUUGUUGAUCAGCCUGACUAACCCAACACCUUAUUGAGACUUGUUGAUGCCAACACCUUAUUGAGACUUGUUGAUCAGCCUGACUAACCCAACACCUUAUUGAGACCUGCUGAUCAGCCUGACUAACCCAACACCUUAUUGAGACUUGUUGAUCCCAACACCUUAUUGAGACUUGUUGAUCAGCCUGACUAACCCAACACCUUAUUGAGACUUGUUGAUCAGCCUGACUAACCCAACACCUUUUUGAGACUUGUUGAUCCCAACACCUUAUUGAGACUUGCUGAUCAGUCUGACUAACCCAAUAGCGUAUGGCUCAAGAGGUUCAAUAAUAUAAUAACACCUACUAACCAACAGAUAAAGUGCCAACAAGGAAAAAGUGGUCUCUGCUGAACGCAGAAGGCUACAGUCAAAUUAUCCUAUAUUUGGCCCAAAUGACACCCUGUUCCCUAUAAAGUGCACUACUUUUGAACUGGUCAUUUAGGGUGCCAUUUGGGAUUUAGCCAGAAGGAUAUAAUAAUGUGUAUUACAUUCAUUUAAAUAAAUUUAACUAAAGACAACAGGUCUCUCCCUAGACCAGUUACUGGUUACAGACAACAGGUCUCUCCCUAGACUAGUUACUGGUUACAGACAACAGGUCUCUCCCUAGACUAGUUACUGGUUACAGACAACAGGUCUCUCCCUAGACUAGUUACUGGUUACAGACAACAUGUCUCUCCCUAGACUAGUUACUGGUUACAGACAACAGGUCUCUCCCUAGACUAGUUACUGGUUACAGACAACAGGUCUCUCCCUAGACUAGUUACUGGUUACAGACAACAGGUCUCUCCCUAGACUAGUUACUGGUUACAGACAACAGGUCUCUCCCUAGACUAGUUACUGGUUACAGACAACAGACUGCAACGCAGGGCUUGGGUCAAGAGAAGUGUUGUGUAGGAUGCCGUUUGAGGUGUGGCACUAUGGAAAGCAGCGUCUGGGAGGUCAAGGGUCAAAGACCACCCAGGCAGAGGUCAAGGGUGGGUGACCUCACUCUCUUUAACAGUACUCAACAUAGAGGGGGGCGGGAUCUGACUGAUGGGACAGGUUUCAACAGCCGGCGUCUGUGAUUGGACAGCUAUCCAUUCACUCACUCCCUGUGGGGAAUAACAUUGCACUGUCUGUCAAAUAAAUAUUCAACCUAGUCCACCCGGUUCUAUUGGAGAGAAAAGAUCAGAACAUUCCAGUUCCGUUGGAGAGAACAGAUGAGAACAUUCUGGUUACAUUUAACACACCAGAACAUUCUGGUUCUGUUGGAAGGAACACACCAGAACAUUCCGGUUCUGUUGGGGUGAACAAUUCAGAACAUUCCAGUUACAUUGGAUAGAAA
Oncorhynchus tshawytscha (Chinook salmon) is the source of this 1622-nucleotide long non-coding RNA. NCBI's taxonomy places the organism in Eukaryota, Metazoa, Chordata, Actinopteri, Salmoniformes, Salmonidae. The record is from Ensembl.